GGCUCAGAACGAACGCUGGCGGCAGGCCUAACACAUGCAAGUCGAGCGCGCCUUUCGGGGCGAGCGGCGGACGGGUGAGUAACGCGUGGGAACGUGCCCUUCGGUGCGGAAUAUACCAGGGAAACUUGGGGCAAUACCGCAUACGGUCUACGGACGAAAGAUUUAUCGCCGAGGGAUCGGCCCGCGUUGGAUUAGGUAGUUGGUAGGGUAAUGGCCUACCAAGCCUACGAUCCGUAGCUGGUUUGAGAGGAUGAUCAGCCACACUGGAACUGAGACACGGUCCAGACUCCUACGGGAGGCAGCAGUGAGGAAUAUUGGACAAUGGGGGGAACCCUGAUCCAGCCAUGCCGCGUGAGUGAUGAAGGCCUUAGGGUUGUAAAGCUCUUUCGCUGGGGAAGAUAAUGACGGAGCAGAAGAAGAG
RNAcentral lists this ribosomal RNA (421 nucleotides) under uncultured bacterium. Its description in RNAcentral is "bacterial SSU rRNA". It matches the Rfam family "Bacterial small subunit ribosomal RNA", at positions 21 to 465 of the family's 1533-position model. The record is from RNAcentral.